UACGUAGGGGGCAAGCGUUGUCCGGAAUCAUUGGGCGUAAAGAGCGUGUAGGCGGCCCGAUAAGUCCGCCGUGAAAGUCCAGGGCUCAACCCUGGAAUGCCGGUGGAAACUGCCGGGCUGGAGUCCGGAAGAGGCGAGUGGAAUUCCUGGUGUAGCGGUGAAAUGCGCAGAUAUCAGGAGGAACACCAAUGGCGAAGGCAGCUCGCUGGGACGGUACUGACGCUGAGACGCGAAAGCGUGGGGAGCAAACAGG
Molecule: ribosomal RNA, 253 nt
Filed under: uncultured bacterium
Lineage: Bacteria
Description: partial 16S ribosomal RNA
Rfam family: Bacterial small subunit ribosomal RNA
Source: RNAcentral